AGUGAACGCUGGCGGUAGGCCUAACACAUGCAAGUCGAACGGCAGCACAGUAAGAGCUUGCUCUUACGGGUGGCGAGUGGCGGACGGGUGAGGAAUACAUCGGAAUCUACUUUUUCGUGGGGGAUAACGUAGGGAAACUUACGCUAAUACCGCAUACGACCUACGGGUGAAAGCAGGGGAUCUUCGGACCUUGCGCGAUUGAAUGAGCCGAUGUCGGAUUAGCUAGUUUGCGGGGUAAAGGCCCACCAAGGCGACGAUCCGUAGCUGGUCUGAGAGGAUGAUCAGCCACACUGGAACUGAGACACGGUCCAGACUCCUACGGGAGGCAGCAGUGGGGAAUAUUGGACAAAGGGCGCAAGCCUGAUCCAGCCAUACCGCGUGGGUGAAGAAGGCCUUCGGGUUGUAAAGCCCUUUUGUUGGGAAAGAAAAGCAGCAGGUUAAUACCCCGCUGUUCUGACGGUACCCAAAGAAUAAGCACCGGCUAACUUCGUG
Molecule: ribosomal RNA, 492 nt
Filed under: uncultured bacterium
Lineage: Bacteria
Description: partial 16S ribosomal RNA
Rfam family: Bacterial small subunit ribosomal RNA
Source: RNAcentral